RNAcentral lists this long non-coding RNA (362 nucleotides) under Callithrix jacchus (white-tufted-ear marmoset). Its description in RNAcentral is "lncRNA (ENSCJAG00000072915.1)". The record is from RNAcentral. Lineage: Eukaryota; Metazoa; Chordata; Mammalia; Primates; Cebidae.
UUAGAGCUUCACUUAAUUUGGUGGUCUGGAUAAUAGAAAAGCCAUCAAAUGAGGAAUCAAACUACCUGAAUUCUAGUCCUGGUUUUAUAAUUAUCUGUAUCAUGCCAUCUCUUGAAUUCUCAAGUUCCUCACCUGGAAUAGGAUUGAACAAACUGAAAUAGAAAUCAAGAAAGGUACAGACAGGGUUUUGCCAUGUUGGCCAGGCUGGUCUUGAACUCCUGGUCUCAAGUGAUCCACCUGCUUCGGCUUCCCAAAGUAGUGGGAUUACACAGGUAAGCCACCAUGCCUGGUCAGCUCAUGUUCUUUCAUACUUAACUCUUCCCCUUACCUCACUCCCUGAUAGCCACUAAUCUACUUCCUGC